This 134-nucleotide microRNA precursor is filed under the name Asparagus officinalis (garden asparagus). RNAcentral's name for it is "miR396b stem-loop (aof-MIR396b)". Its record names the gene aof-MIR396b. The stretch from base 16 to 118 matches the Rfam family "MIR396 microRNA precursor family". The record is from miRBase by way of RNAcentral. Lineage: Eukaryota; Viridiplantae; Streptophyta; Magnoliopsida; Asparagales; Asparagaceae.
UUCAUAAAUGGUUCUCUUUGUAUUUUUCCACAGCUUUCUUGAACUGCAUAGAAAAGGGCUUCAAUUGCCGAAGGCUGCCAAUUUUGCGGUUCAAUAAAGCUGUGGGAAAUUACAGAGGGAGACUAAAUUGACCG